Molecule: long non-coding RNA, 407 nt
Organism: Polyodon spathula (Mississippi paddlefish)
Lineage: Eukaryota; Metazoa; Chordata; Actinopteri; Acipenseriformes; Polyodontidae
Exons: 3
Source: RefSeq, a predicted model, not a curated record
UGAAGAUGCAGUGGCGGGGUCUAUAUUUCUAUGGAGCUUGCUGACAGCAUUCGUGAUCUGUGGAUUGAUAGCAUUUAUAUAUAUUACGUUACAGAAGAAAUCUAAAUUGAAAUGUUUGCAUUCAAAAGGACCUGCAGGAGGUGAUGGUGAACAGCUGCAAACAAUUACUGUAUUUGCUGAGCUAAUGUAGGAAUCAAGCAAGAAACUGGAUUUGGAAAGAGAGAACACGUUUCAUCAGUAUAAAGAGGCCUUUGAUAAAGCUCUUUUGUUUGGUCCUGGAGACUUCCACUUUCAAACUUACCAACAAAGAUUACAAACAAGAACUAAUAUCUAAUAAUAGUAUUACUAAGAGUUAACAAAUGUUUUAGGAAACUCUUUCUUUAUAGUUUUACCUUUUACCAUUUGUG